AGUGAACGCUGGCGGUAGGCCUAACACAUGCAAGUCGAACGGCAGCACAGGAGAGCUUGCUCUCUGGGUGGCGAGUGGCGGACGGGUGAGGAAUACAUCGGAAUCUACUCUGUCGUGGGGGAUAACGUAGGGAAACUUACGCUAAUACCGCAUACGACCUACGGGUGAAAUCAGGGGACCUUCGGGCCUUGCGCGAUUGAAUGAGCCGAUGUCGGAUUAGCUCGUUGGCGGGGUAAAGGCCCACCAAGGCGACGAUACGUAGCUGGUCUGAGAGGAUGAUCAGCCAAACUGGAAAUGAGACACGGUCCAGACUCCUACGGGAGGCAGCAGUGGGGAAUAUUGGACAAUGGGCGCAAGCCUGAUCCAGCCAUACCGCGUGGGUGAAGAAGGCCUUCGGGUUGUAAAGCCCUUUUGUUGGGAAAGAAAUCCAGCUGGCUAAUACCCGGUUGGGAUGACGGUACCCAAAGAAUAAGCACCGGCUAACUUCGUGCCAGCAGCCGCGGUAA
This 506-nucleotide ribosomal RNA is filed under the name uncultured bacterium. RNAcentral's name for it is "partial 16S ribosomal RNA". It matches the Rfam family "Bacterial small subunit ribosomal RNA", at positions 29 to 523 of the family's 1533-position model. The record is from RNAcentral.